RNAcentral lists this ribosomal RNA (815 nucleotides) under uncultured bacterium. RNAcentral's name for it is "bacterial SSU rRNA". It matches the Rfam family "Bacterial small subunit ribosomal RNA", at positions 8 to 796 of the family's 1533-position model. The record is from RNAcentral.
AGAGUUUGAUCCUGGCUCAGGACGAACGCUGGCGGCGUGCCUAAUACAUGCAAGUCGAACGGUCUUUUCUAUGGAAGCUUGCUUCCACUGAGAAGAUAGUGGCGAACGGGUGAGUAACACGUGGGUAACCUGCCCAUAAGAGGGGGAUAACAUCCGGAAACGGGUGCUAAUACCGCAUAGUUUUCUUGAUCGCAUGAUCGGGAAAGGAAAGACGGCCUUUGUGCUGUCGCUUAUGGAUGGACCCGCGGCGUAUUAGUUAGUUGGUGAGGUAACGGCUCACCAAGACGAUGAUACGUAGCCGACCUGAGAGGGUGAUCGGCCACAUUGGGACUGAGACACGGCCCAAACUCCUACGGGAGGCAGCAGUAGGGAAUCUUCCGCAAUGGACGAAAGUCUGACGGAGCAACGCCGCGUGAGUGAAGAAGGUUUUCGGAUCGUAAACCUCUGUUGUCAGAGAAGAACAAGUUGGAGAGUAACUGCUCCAGCCUUGACGGUAUCUGACCAGAAAGCCACGGCUAACUACGUGCCAGCAGCCGCGGUAAUACGUAGGUGGCAAGCGUUGUCCGGAUUUAUUGGGCGUAAAGCGAGCGCAGGCGGUUCCUUAAGUCUGAUGUGAAAGCCCACGGCUCAACCGUGGAAGGUCAUUGGAAACUGGGGAACUUGAGUGCAGAAGAGGAGAGUGGAAUUCCAUGUGUAGCGGUGAAAUGCGUAGAUAUAUGGAGGAACACCAGUGGCGAAGGCGACUCUCUGGUCUGUAACUGACGCUGAGGCUCGAAAGCGUGGGGAGCAAACAGGAUUAGAUACCCUGGUAGUCC